Molecule: ribosomal RNA, 484 nt
Filed under: uncultured bacterium
Lineage: Bacteria
Description: partial 16S ribosomal RNA
Rfam family: Bacterial small subunit ribosomal RNA
Source: RNAcentral
AGUGAACGCUGGCGGCGUGCUUAACACAUGCAAGUCGAACGAGAACGGGUUAUAGCUUGCUAUAAUUGUCAGCUAAGUGGCGCACGGGUGAGUAAUGUAUAGGUAAUAUGCCUCUUACUAAGGGAUAACAAAUGGAAACGUUUGCUAAUACCUUAUACUCCUUAUUAACAUAAGUUAAUAAGGGAAAGAUUUAUUGGUAAGAGAUUAGCCUGUAUUGUAUCAGUUGGUAGGUGGGGUAAUGGCUUACCAAGACUAUGACACAUAACUGGUUUGAGAGGAUGAUCAGUCACACUGGAACUGAGACACGGUCCAGACUCCUACGGGAGGCAGCAGUGGGGAAUAUUGCACAAUGGACGAAAGUCUGAUGCAGCAACGCCGCGUGGAGGAUGACACAUUUCGGUGCGUAAACUCCUUUUAUAUGAGAAGAUAAUGACGGUAUUAUAUGAAUAAGCACCGGCUAACUCCGUGCCAGCCGCCGCCGUAA